This 160-nucleotide ribosomal RNA is filed under the name Amoebidium parasiticum. Its description in RNAcentral is "5.8S ribosomal RNA". It matches the Rfam family "5.8S ribosomal RNA". From Rfam's summary of the family: 5.8S ribosomal RNA (5.8S rRNA) is a component of the large subunit of the eukaryotic ribosome. It is transcribed by RNA polymerase I as part of the 45S precursor that also contains 18S and 28S rRNA. The record is from RNAcentral. Lineage: Eukaryota; Ichthyosporea; Ichthyophonida; Amoebidiaceae.
CAACUUUUAACGGUGGAUCUCUUGGCUCGUGCAUCGAUGAAGAACGCAGCGAAAUGCGAUACGUAGUGUGAAUUGCAGAUUUUCGUGAAUCAUCGAAUCUUUGAACGCAAAUUGCGGUUUCAGGUAACUCCUGGGACCAUGCCUGGUUGAGUGUCACAAA